This 3435-nucleotide long non-coding RNA is filed under the name Canis lupus familiaris (dog). RNAcentral's name for it is "lncRNA (ENSCAFG00000055239.1)". Lineage: Eukaryota; Metazoa; Chordata; Mammalia; Carnivora; Canidae. The record is from RNAcentral.
CUUUUCUCUCAUUGCCUUGGGAAAAGGCAUUCACCUGGAAAAAAGAUGACUUGGUUUCAGGUCACAACCCUGCUACUUUCUAGUUCAUCAGCUUCUCUGAACUUCAUCUUUCUCAGUGUCAAAUGAAGCUCGUGAUUGCUGUCCUGUUUACCUCUCAGCUUGCUGUGAGUGCUACAGAGAUUACAAAUGUGAAAGCAUUUUGCUUAGCGUUAAUGCUUUUAAAAAAAUAAGGCGUAGAGCAACAUGGCAGAUUCAAUUCUGAUUCUGUUAUUUGCUUGAUCUGUAGCAAUGCCUCAGUAGCUUUGCAUAGCAUAGGGGCACAGAUGCUUUCUUCUUCUUAUGAUUUACAUGGAUUCAAAUUGUAGGCAACAGAACAAUGUUGGUAUUACAUGUCAAAGCACAAUAGGAGACAGAAUAAAAAGGUUAUAAUCAAGCUGCACAAUCUAUUCAGUCAACUUUUCUCUCUGAAAUAUGUCAGAUGCUAUUUCCUGGAAUUUGAGGCACUUAAUGAUUAGGAUCAUUAGAAAGUACAUCUUUGUCAUGUAGGCACUAUUUACAAAAUUUUAGGGAUAAAGCAAGCAAACACAGAUGUACGCACAGAAACAUAUAGAACACAUACAGUUUACUAUUCAUUAAUUCCAGAAUUCUGCUUGUCAUUAUUUUCUUAGACAUAUAUAUAUAUAUGUAUAUAUAAUAUAAUUAUAUAACAUAUAUAUAAUAUAAUUAUAUAAUAUUAUAUAAUAAUAUAUAAUAUAUAUAAUAUUUUAUUUAUGUCUUUUCCCUGGCACUGGGAAACUUUUUAUAUUGAGGUUUUAUAUUAUUUUCUAAUCAAAAAAACAAAGGGUUAGAUAAAUAGGGGCAAUGAACUAUUUUAGACCAAUAGUGUUUCUAUGGCUUUCCCCUAAUUUCAUCAAGGAAACAGAAAGAAAAAAGAGAUGUAGAAAUGGUACACAAAAUUUUCAGAAAGCAUUCUUACAGAAUUAACCGCUAAAAUUUUUAAAGUUCUUAAAAUCAACAAUGAGAGGGAUAUAUUCUCUACACUCUUUUGUUGAUAUAAUGAUUUUAUAUCCACUUAAUAGCCACAUGUGUUAAAUAAACAAAAUACCAUACAUGUUUUUGCUACUGAGAGAAAAGAGUGGGAGAGAAAGUAUGUUCCAUUCUCUAGCUCAUUAUUUUAAUUUUUAAUAAUCCUAGAACAAUGCAGAUUAGAAGUUAAGUGGCUGGCCCAAAGUCAAGCUUACCAAAAAAUCUUCUAUUCCUGGGGUGCCUGGGUGGCUGUCAGUUAAUUGAGUGACUCUUGAUUUCAGCUCAGGUCAUGAUCUCAGGGUCAUGGGAUGGAGCCCAGGUGUGACUCUGCACUCAGUGCAGAGCCUGCUAGUCCCUCUCCUUCUGUUACCCCUGCCUCUCCCACCCCUAACCCCAUUCAUACUCUGUCUCUGUCUAAAAUAAGUAAGUAAAAUAUUUUUUUUAAAGUCUUCUCUUCCAGAUUCGCAACUCUUUCAUCCAAAGAACUCUUUACCUCUAAAGCAUUUUAAUGAACAUACUAUAGGGCUUAAUAAAAAAAAAUAAACUAUUCCAAAAAGUAGAGAAAAAGUCUUCAAAGCUAUUCUCAUUAACAUGAAGAAUGAAACUUAUCUUGUUUUGAGACAGUCUUAUAAAAUGGCAUUUGAUUUUACUUAACAUUUUAGCUAUCUUUUCCUAAAUUUGUUCAGAUAAAGCUAUAGUUAUACUUAAACUCUCAGUAUAAAUUACUCAUUUCUUCUCUACCAUAGGCUUGCUAAAUUUUUAAACUAAUUUUCAUAUUAAUAUUUGUUAUUUUAAAAAAUAUUUUAUUUAUUUUUUCAUGAGAGAUGCAGAGAGGGAGUCAAAGACACAGGUAGAGGGAGAAGCAGGUUGCCUGCAGGGAGCCUGAUGUGGGACUUGGUCCCAGGACCCCAGGAUCACACCCUGGGCUGAAGGCAGACGCUCAACUGCUAAACCAGCCUGGCAUUCCUAAUAUUUGUUAUUUCUGAUUAUAAAAUUAAUGCAAACAAUAUUCCAGACAUCUAAAGUAUUUGUUUCUUACUGAUCAGGAAAAGGAAUAAUGUUUUUUAUAAUGCUAUUGUUUAACAUUGUACAAAGAGUCCUGACUGGUGCAACCAGACAAGAAAAAGGUAAUAUAGAUUCAAAAGGAAGAAAAAAAAAAAAAAACAGUAAGUAUCUAAAGAUACAUUAUAAUCUAUGAUAGAACAAUUGUUACAAUAAAAAAAUCCCAGAAAGGUGAGAUAUAAGGCUAAUGGUCAAUAAUCACUUGUUCCUUUUUACCAAUAAAUUCAAGUUGAAAGUGAAGGAGAAAAUAUGAUCAUUGGCUUUAGCAACAAAACUUUAACAUAUUUAGAAAUCACUCUAACGAUUUCUUCUGAAGAAAUAUAUGAAGCAUUAUAAUAAAUACAAAUAUACUGAGAAUAACACUGUAACAAAUAGUGACUUAUUACUAUAAAGAUUUCAAUACUCCCCAAAUUGAUAAUUUCAAAAUAAUUUUAACAAAUAUACAAGAUUUUUUGGAAAAUUAAGUUAAUUGUAAAAUUUGUAUGGACAAAUAAUAGUGUUCCAAUAGUAAAACAACUUGAAAAAGAAUGGUGACAAGUCUCAUUUACUACCUAUUAAGACAUUUAAAGCCACAGUAAAUAAAACAAUUUCAUGCAAUUAAAGCAAAAGAGAAAUAAAACAGUGUGUUAGGAUAGAGGCCGAGCAAGUAACUUAUACUAUUUUUUGGAAUUUAGUUCCUAAUGGAGGUGGCAUAAAAAAUCAGUGUAUCCGUAUAGAAUGAAUUAUUUUAUAAAAGAAUAUUCAAAAAGUCAGUCCAUUUUUAAAUAAUAAUUAUGAUAAUAGUAAUAUAAUCUAAUAAUAUAAUCAAUAACAGUACUUAACAACCAAUAACAGUAUCCAAAAUGUGUCAGGCAAUGAUCUCAACGCUGCAAAUUUACUAACACUUUUAAUAUGACAGUCUUAUAAGAUAGGCAUUACCUUUGUGUUUUACAGAUCAGGACACUGAGGCAUAGCCUAGACGUAAGUAAAUUGCACAAAGUGACAUACUAGUAGCAGAGUCAUGAUACAAAUUCAAUGGAUUUAUUAUAAAAUUUUUUCUUGUAUCCAUUAUAUUGUGCUGCCUUUACAGGGGAAAAAUUAUAUACUUAUACUUAUCUCUUGUGAUAUAUAUAUAAUAUACAUAUUAUAUAUACAUAUAUAUACUAUACAUAUUAUAUAUACAUAUAUAUACAUAAACUCCAAGUGAUUUAAAGAUACAAAUGAAAUUUAAAUCUAAAGGUAUUAAAUGCAGUGGAAUAUACAAAGUAAACAGGUGUAUUACCUACUGGGAAUUGAUAUUCUGCAUAUAUCUAGAAUACAUAAGGAGCAUCUGAAAAUUAGUGAGGAAAAGCUAAUAAAAACAAUGUG